This 1368-nucleotide ribosomal RNA is filed under the name human gut metagenome. RNAcentral describes it as "bacterial LSU rRNA". It matches the Rfam family "Bacterial large subunit ribosomal RNA", at positions 988 to 2441 of the family's 2925-position model. The record is from RNAcentral.
ACUAUGUGAGAUAAGUCUCAUAGUCAAAAGGGAAACAGCCCAGACCCACAGCUAAGGUCCCAAAACAGAUUUAAGUGGAAAAGGAUGUGGGAUUGCCCAGACAACCAGGAUGUUGGCUUAGAAGCAGCCACACAUUAAAAGAGUGCGUAAUAGCUCACUGGUCGAGUGAUCCUGCGCCGAAAAUUCAACGGGGCUAAAAUUUGUACCGAAGCUUGGGCUUGAUACUUUGUAUCAGGGGUAGGGGAGCGUCAUGUAUGAGGAGAAGUCAUAGCGGAAGCGGUGGUGGAUUGUACAUGAGAGAGAAUGCCGGAAUGAGUAGCGAGAAUUAUGUGAGAAUCAUAAUGGCCGAAAAUCUAAGGUUUCCUGAGGAAGGUUCGUCCGCUCAGGGUAAGCCGGGAGCUAAGGUGAGGCGGAAACGCGUAGCCGAUGCACAUACGGUAGAGAUUCCGUAGCCUCCGAAAAGUAAAGCACAGGGACGCUUCAGAAGUGUUACGCCGGGCGAUGGUUGCCCCGGUUGUAAAGGACACAAUUGAGUGGAAGGUAACAUGGAUGGAGACAAGAAAAGCUGUGUGUAUCUGGAAGGAGCCCGUACCGCAAACCGACACAGGUAGAUAGGAAGAAGAUUCUAAGGCCAGCGGGAGAAGGGUUGUUAAGGAACUCGGCAAGUUGACCCCGUAACUUCGGGAGAAGGGGUGCUUACGAAGGUAAGCCGCAGAGAAUAGGCCCAAGCGACUGUUUAGCAAAAACACAGCUCUAUGCUAAAUCGAAAGAUGACGUAUAUGGGGUGACACCUGCCCGGUGCUGGAAGGUUAAGAGGAGAUGUGAGAGCAUUGAAUUGAAGCCCCAGUAAACGGCGGCCGUAACUAUAACGGUCCUAAGGUAGCGAAAUUCCUUGUCAGGUAAGUUCUGACCCGCACGAAUGGUGUAACGAUUUGGGCACUGUCUCAACAACCCACCCGGCGAAAUUGUAGUACCGGUGAAGAUGCCGGUUACCCGCGACUAGACGGAAAGACCCCAUGGAGCUUCACUGCAGCUUAAUAUUGGAUUUCGGUAUUUCAUGUACAGGAUAGGUGGGAGACUGGGAAAUACAGGCGUCAGCUUGUAUGGAGUCACUGUUGGGAUACCACUCUUGAGGUGCUGAAAUUCUAACCUGCGUCUUUGAAUCAAGACGGGGGACAUUGUUAGGUGGGCAGUUUGACUGGGGCGGUCGCCUCCAAAAGAGUAACGGAGGCGCUCAAAGGUUCGCUCAGCAUGGACGGAAACCAUGCCAAAGAGUGCAAACGCAAAAGCGAGCCUAACUGCGAGACUGACGGGUCGAGCAGUAACGAAAGUUGGAGUUAGUGAUCCGGCGGUAUGUGAGUGGAAAUG